GAUGAACGCUGGCGGCGUGCCUAAUACAUGCAAGUCGAGCGAACAGACGAGGAGCUUGCUCCUCUGACGUUAGCGGCGGACGGGUGAGUAACACGUGUAUACCCUACCUAUCAUACUGGGAUCACUUCGGGAAACCGGCUCUAAUCCCGGAGAAUAUAUUGCACCACGUUGUUCAAUGGUGAAAUACGGUUUUUCUGUCUCUUCUAGCGGGUUCCGCGCCGGAUUAGCUAGUUGGUAAGGUCAAGGAGUACCAAGGCAACGAUGCGUAACCGACCUGAGAGGGUGAUCGGCCGCCCUGGAACUGUGACGCGGUACAGAGUCCUACGGGAGGCAGCAGUAGGGAAUCGGCCGCAAUGGGCGAAAGCUAGACGGAGCAACGCCGCGUGAGUGAUGAAGGUCUUCGGAUCGUAAAACUCUGUUAUCAGGGAAGAACAAAUGUGCAAGUAACUAGGCACGUCUUGACGGUAACUAAGCAGAAAGGCACGGCUAACUACGGG
Molecule: ribosomal RNA, 497 nt
Filed under: uncultured bacterium
Lineage: Bacteria
Description: partial 16S ribosomal RNA
Rfam family: Bacterial small subunit ribosomal RNA
Source: RNAcentral